This 1038-nucleotide long non-coding RNA is filed under the name Sarcophilus harrisii (Tasmanian devil). RNAcentral's name for it is "lncRNA (ENSSHAG00000021776.1)". The record is from RNAcentral. Lineage: Eukaryota; Metazoa; Chordata; Mammalia; Dasyuromorphia; Dasyuridae.
UCAGAGUAAAGACUAAUUUUUAUUGGAUUUGGCUAUGUGACUUUCUUAGUUGAAAUACCACAUUGACAAACACUGUUAAUACAGCAGCUGUUAAUACAAACUUACAGUAAAGAAACAUAUUCCUUGCUAGCAUAAUAAAAAUACAGAGAAACACACACGAUUAAAAUUAAAUCCAAUUUUAUACUUUUUUUAACACUUAAAACCAACCUCUUCCAGAUUUCCUGUUAACACUUCCCUUUGUGCUUUCAGUCCAGUUAGAAAUUACAAAUGAUUAUAAAUCUUAAGAAGAGUCUGAUACAAAAUUGUACAAAAUUGACCAGACCUGUGAAAAAUAACUACCCUUUACAAAAACUGUAAUUCAAGGUUACCAACAUUAGUCAUUUCCUGUUUUUGGCCUUUUUAAGUAUUCUUGGCAAUUUUCUCUAUAAAAAUAACAUAUACUCAAACAGAAAGCUGUGAUUUUCAAAAUACAUUUUCUUUAGGUGAUACAUUUCUUGGGUGUACAAGGGGAAUUCAAGUAAACAGUACUUGUCUCCUUCCUUUGUGGUUCACAUUUAACAAAACAAAAACAAAAAUCCUAGAAUAAACUUUUUCAAUUUACUCACAACAUGAAACAAAAUUCAGAAACAGCUGAAGAUACAGUAAACUAAAGGCAUUCAGUGUUACCCCUUGAAAAUAUUCUUAUACGACAGAAGACAAUUUAUAUUUGAUACAGGCAUAUUUACAAGGUUAUUACAACAAUACCACAGUGCAGAUAGAUGACACUGUUAAUUCAAGCCUUCAAUUCUGAGAAGGAAAAAAAAAAUCACUAGUCACUGUAAAACCAAUGCCUUCUUUUUCUCUUUUAGAACUUCUUGCCUUUUCUAUUUUUCUUUUUCUUUUCUUUCCUUUUUUUUGGGGGGGGGUAUUUUGGGGCUAAAAAGAGUACAUCUGGUAGUAGAUUCAAGAUCUUAGUGCUUAAUAAAAAUCAUCUAUAUGUUCUUUAAAAAGACAAUUUAUGAUUAGCAGUUUAUAAAUUAUUUAAAAACAAAAGUUAAA